CACGAACGCUGGCGGCGUGCUUAACACAUGCAAGUCGAACGAUGAACCCGGAGCUUGCUCCGGUGGAUUAGUGGCGAACGGGUGAGUAACACGUGAGUAACCUGCCUUUCAUUUUGGAAUAACUCCGGGAAACCGGGGCUAAAACCGAAUACUCCGUCUCGGCGGCAUCGCCGAGCCGGGAAAAAAUUUUGAUGAAAGAUGGUCUCGCGGCCUAUCAGCUAGUUGGUGAGGUAAUGGCUCACCAAGGCAACGACGGGUAGCCGGCCCGAGAGGGCGACCGGCCACACUGGGACUGAGACACGGCCCAGACUCCUACGGGAGGCAGCAGUGGGGAAUAUUGGGCAAUGGGCGCAAGCCUGACCCAGCGACGCCGCGUGAGGGAUGAAGGCCUUCGGGUUGUAAACCUCUUUCAGUAGGGAAGAAGCGAAAGUGACGGUACCUAAAGAAGAAGCACCGGCUAACUAUGUGCCAGCCGCCGCAGUAA
Molecule: ribosomal RNA, 484 nt
Filed under: uncultured bacterium
Lineage: Bacteria
Description: partial 16S ribosomal RNA
Rfam family: Bacterial small subunit ribosomal RNA
Source: RNAcentral